AAAUUGAAGAGUUUGAUCAUGGCUCAGAUUGAACGCUGGCGGCAGGCCUAACACAUGCAAGUCGAACGGUAACAGGAAACAGCUUGCUGUUUCGCUGACGAGUGGCGGACGGGUGAGUAAUGUCUGGGAAACUGCCUGAUGGAGGGGGAUAACUACUGGAAACGGUAGCUAAUACCGCAUAACGUCNNNNNNNNNNAGCUAAUACCGCAUAACGUCGCAAGACCAAAGAGGGGGACCUUCGGGCCUCUUGCCAUCGGAUGUGCCCAGAUGGGAUUAGCUAGUAGGUGGGGUAACGGCUCACCUAGGCGACGAUCCCUAGCUGGUCUGAGAGGAUGACCAGCCACACUGGAACUGAGACACGGUCCAGACUCCUACGGGAGGCAGCAGUGGGGAAUAUUGCACAAUGGGCGCAAGCCUGAUGCAGCCAUGCCGCGUGUAUGAAGAAGGCCUUCGGGUUGUAAAGUACUUUCAGCGGGGAGGAAGGGAGUAAAGUUAAUACCUUUGCUCAUUGACGUUACCCGCAGAAGAAGCACCGGCUAACUCCGUGCCAGCAGCCGCGGUAAUACGGAGGGUGCAAGCGUUAAUCGGAAUUACUGGGCGUAAAGCGCACGCAGGCGGUUUGUUAAGUCAGAUGUGAAAUCCCCGGGCUCAACCUGGGAACUGCAUCUGAUACUGGCAAGCUUGAGUCUCGUAGAGGGGGGUAGAAUUCCAGGUGUAGCGGUGAAAUGCGUAGAGAUCUGGAGGAAUACCGGUGGCGAAGGCGGCCCCCUGGACGAAGACUGACGCUCAGGUGCGAAAGCGUGGGGAGCAAACAGGAUUAGAUACCCUGGUAGUCCACGCCGUAAACGAUGUCGACUUGGAGGUUGUGCCCUUGAGGCGUGGCUUCCGGAGCUAACGCGUUAAGUCGACCGCCUGGGGAGUACGGCCGCAAGGUUAAAACUCAAAUGAAUUGACGGGGGCCCGCACAAGCGGUGGAGCAUGUGGUUUAAUUCGAUGCAACGCGAAGAACCUUACCUGGUCUUGACAUCCACGGAAGUUUUCAGAGAUGAGAAUGUGCCUUCGGGAACCGUGAGACAGGUGCUGCAUGGCUGUCGUCAGCUCGUGUUGUGAAAUGUUGGGUUAAGUCCCGCAACGAGCGCAACCCUUAUCCUUUGUUGCCAGCGGUCCGGCCGGGAACUCAAAGGAGACUGCCAGUGAUAAACUGGAGGAAGGUGGGGAUGACGUCAAGUCAUCAUGGCCCUUACGACCAGGGCUACACACGUGCUACAAUGGCGCAUACAAAGAGAAGCGACCUCGCGAGAGCAAGCGGACCUCAUAAAGUGCGUCGUAGUCCGGAUUGGAGUCUGCAACUCGACUCCAUGAAGUCGGAAUCGCUAGUAAUCGUGGAUCAGAAUGCCACGGUGAAUACGUUCCCGGGCCUUGUACACACCGCCCGUCACACCAUGGGAGUGGGUUGCAAAAGAAGUAGGUAGCUUAACCUUCGGGAGGGCGCUUACCACUUUGUGAUUCAUGACUGGGGUGAAGUCGUAACAAGGUAACCGUAGGGGAACCUGCGGUUGGAUCACCUCCUUACCUUAAAGAAGC
RNAcentral lists this ribosomal RNA (1584 nucleotides) under Escherichia coli. Its description in RNAcentral is "bacterial SSU rRNA". It matches the Rfam family "Bacterial small subunit ribosomal RNA". The record is from RNAcentral. Lineage: Bacteria; Pseudomonadati; Pseudomonadota; Gammaproteobacteria; Enterobacterales; Enterobacteriaceae.